AGAGUUUGAUCAUGGCUCAGAACGAACGCUGGCGGCAGGCCUAACACAUGCAAGUCGAACGGGACCUUCGGGUCUAGUGGCGGACGGGUGAGUAACGCGUGGGAACGUGCCCUUUGGUUCGGAAUAGCCCUGGGAAACUGGGAGUAAUACCGGAUGUGCCCUACGGGGGAAAGAUUUAUCGCCAAAGGAUCGGCCCGCGUUGGAUUAGGUAGUUGGUGGGGUAAUGGCCUACCAAGCCGACGAUCCAUAGCUGGUUUGAGAGGAUGAUCAGCCACACUGGGACUGAGACACGGCCCAGACUCCUACGGGAGGCAGCAGUGGGGAAUCUUAGACAAUGGGGGAAACCCUGAUCUAGCCAUGCCGCGUGAGCGAUGAAGGCCUUAGGGUUGUAAAGCUCUUUCAGUGGGGAAGAUAAUGACGGUACCCACAGAAGAAGCCCCGGCUAACUCCGUGCCAGCAGCCGCGGUAAUACGGAGGGGGCUAGCGUUGUUCGGAAUUACUGGGCGUAAAGCGCACGUAGGCGGACUGGAAAGUCAGGGGUGAAAUCCCGGGGCUCAACCCCGGAACUGCCUUUGAAACUCCCGGUCUUGAGGUCGAGAGAGGUGAGUGGAAUUCCGAGUGUAGAGGUGAAAUUCGUAGAUAUUCGGAGGAACACCAGUGGCGAAGGCGGCUCACUGGCUCGAUACUGACGCUGAGGUGCGAAAGCGUGGGGGAGCAAACAGGAUUAGAUACCCUGGUAGUCCACGCCGUAAACGAUGGAUGCUAGCCGUUGGGGAGCUUGCUCUUCAGUGGCGCAGCUAACGCUUUAAGCAUCCCGCCUGGGGAGUACGGUCGCAAGAUUAAAACUCA
This 849-nucleotide ribosomal RNA is filed under the name uncultured bacterium. RNAcentral's name for it is "bacterial SSU rRNA". It matches the Rfam family "Bacterial small subunit ribosomal RNA", at positions 8 to 903 of the family's 1533-position model. The record is from RNAcentral.